RNAcentral lists this ribosomal RNA (490 nucleotides) under uncultured bacterium. RNAcentral's name for it is "partial 16S ribosomal RNA". It matches the Rfam family "Bacterial small subunit ribosomal RNA", at positions 30 to 507 of the family's 1533-position model. The record is from RNAcentral.
AUUGAACGCUGGCGGCAGGCCUAACACAUGCAAGUCGAACGGUAACAGGAAACAGCUUGCUGUUUCGCUGACGAGUGGCGGACGGGUGAGUAAUGUCUGGGAAACUGCCUGAUGGAGGGGGAUAACUACUGGAAACGGUAGCUAAUACCGCAUAACGUCGCAAGACCAAAGAGGGGGACCUUCGGGCCUCUUGCCAUCGGAUGUGCCCAGAUGGGAUUAGCUAGUAGGUGGGGUAACGGCUCACCUAGGCGACGAUCCCUAGCUGGUCUGAGAGGAUGACCAGCCACACUGGAACUGAGACACGGUCCAGACUCCUACGGGAGGCAGCAGUGGGGAAUAUUGCACAAUGGGCGCAAGCCUGAUGCAGCCAUGCCGCGUGUAUGAAGAAGGCCUUCGGGUUGUAAAGUACCUUCAGCGGGGAGGAAGGGAGUAAAGUUAAUACCUUGACUCAUUGACGUUACCCGCAGAAGAAGCACCGGCUAACUCCGUG